This 231-nucleotide ribosomal RNA is filed under the name uncultured bacterium. RNAcentral describes it as "partial 16S ribosomal RNA". It matches the Rfam family "Bacterial small subunit ribosomal RNA", at positions 546 to 776 of the family's 1533-position model. The record is from RNAcentral.
CGGAAUUACUGGGGGUAAAGGGCGUGUAGGCGGAUAUGUGAGUGGGGGGGGAAAUCCCGGGGCUCAACCUCGGAAUUGCCUUCAAAACUGGAUAUCUUGAGUUCGGGAGAGGUGAGUGGAACUCCGAGUGUAGAGGUGAAAUUCGUAGAUAUUCGGAAGAACACCAGUGGCGAAGGCGACUCACUGGCCCGAUACUGACGCUGAGGCGCGAAAGCGUGGGGAGCAAACAGG